RNAcentral lists this transfer RNA (71 nucleotides) under Citrobacter sp. RNAcentral's name for it is "tRNA-Gly". The stretch from base 9 to 63 matches the Rfam family "tRNA", at positions 10 to 63 of the family's 71-position model. Rfam says of the family: Transfer RNA (tRNA) molecules are approximately 80 nucleotides in length. The record is from RNAcentral. Lineage: Bacteria; Pseudomonadati; Pseudomonadota; Gammaproteobacteria; Enterobacterales; Enterobacteriaceae.
CGGGCAUCGUAUAAUGGCUAUUACCUCAGCCUUCCAAGCUGAUGAUGCGGGUUCGAUUCCCGCCAGUUCGA